UACGUAGGCAGCAAGCGUUGUUCGGAGUUACUGGGCGUAAAGGGUGUGUAGGCGGUUCUUUAAGUUUGGUGUGAAAUCUCCCGGCUCAACCGGGAGGGUGCGCCGAAAACUGAAGGGCUAGAGUGCGGGAGAGGAGAGUGGAAUUCCUGGUGUAGCGGUGAAAUGCGUAGAUAUCAGGAGGAACACCGGUGGUGUAAACGGCUCUCUGGACCGUAACUGACGCUGAGACACGAAAGCGUGGGUAGCAAGCAGG
This 253-nucleotide ribosomal RNA is filed under the name uncultured bacterium. RNAcentral describes it as "partial 16S ribosomal RNA". It matches the Rfam family "Bacterial small subunit ribosomal RNA", at positions 524 to 776 of the family's 1533-position model. The record is from RNAcentral.